UACGAAGGGUGCAAACGUUGCUCGGAAUCAUUGGGCGUAAAGCGCACGUAGGCGGACCGCUAAGUCGGAUGUGAAAGCCCUCGGCUUAACCGAGGAAGUGCAUUCGAAACUGACGGUCUUGAGUAUGGAAGAGGGUCGCGGAAUUCCCGGUGUAGAGGUGAAAUUCGUAGAUAUCGGGAGGAACACCAGUGGCGAAGGCGGCGACCUGGGCCAAUACUGACGCUGAGGUGCGAAAGCGUGGGGAGCAAACAGG
RNAcentral lists this ribosomal RNA (253 nucleotides) under uncultured bacterium. RNAcentral's name for it is "partial 16S ribosomal RNA". It matches the Rfam family "Bacterial small subunit ribosomal RNA", at positions 524 to 776 of the family's 1533-position model. The record is from RNAcentral.